RNAcentral lists this ribosomal RNA (497 nucleotides) under uncultured bacterium. RNAcentral's name for it is "partial 16S ribosomal RNA". It matches the Rfam family "Bacterial small subunit ribosomal RNA", at positions 28 to 507 of the family's 1533-position model. The record is from RNAcentral.
GACGAACGCUGGCGGCGUGCCUAAUACAUGCAAGUAGAACGCUGAAGAGAGGAGCUUGCUCUUCUUGGAUGAGUUGCGAACGGGUGAGUAACGCGUUGGUAACCUGCCUUGUAGCGGGGGAUAACUAUUGGAAACGAUAGCUAAUACCGCAUAACAAUGGAUGACACAUGUCAUUUAUUUGAAAGGGGCAAUUGCUCCACUACUAGAUGGACCUGCGUUGUAUUAGCUAGUAGGUGAGGUAAUGGCUCACCUAGGCGACGAUACAUAGCCGACCUGAGAGGGUGAUCGGCCACACUGGGACUGAGACACGGCCCAGACUCCUACGGGAGGCAGCAGUAGGGAAUCUUCGGCAAUGGGGGCAACCCUGACCGAGCAACGCCGCGUGAGUGAAGAAGGUUUUCGGAUCGUAAAGCUCUGUUGUAAGUCAAGAACGGGUGUGAGAGUGGAAAGUUCACACUGUGACGGUAGCUUACCAGAAAGGGACGGCUAACUACGUG